UUUGAUCCCAACAAUGCAACAUUGUACUCAAACAGGAGCCUUUGUCGGCUUCGCAUGGGCGAGGGGGACAAGGCUUUGUUGGAUGCUAACAAAUGCAGAAAAUUGCGGCCUGACUGGCCAAAAGCCUGUUACCGGCAGGGUGCAGCUCUGAUGUUGCUCAAGGAUUACAAGGGUGCACGCGAACAUUUCUCGGAUGGACUCAAGUUGGACCCGGCCAACACUGAGAUGGAGGACGCAUUACGGUAUCCCAUCUGCCUAACUGUUUUUUUCGUUUGGGCAGAACCUUCAUUGGUUACAUUAUGA
Molecule: ribosomal RNA, 303 nt
Filed under: Triticum aestivum (bread wheat)
Lineage: Eukaryota; Viridiplantae; Streptophyta; Magnoliopsida; Poales; Poaceae
Description: partial small subunit ribosomal RNA
Source: RNAcentral